GAUGAACGCUGGCGGCGUGCCUAAUACAUGCAAGUCGAGCGAACAGACAAGGAGCUUGCUCCUUUGACGUUAGCGGCGGACGGGUGAGUAACACGUGGGUAACCUACCUAUAAGACUGGGAUAACUUCGGGAAACCGGAGCUAAUACCGGAUAAUAUUUCGAACCGCAUGGUUCGAUAGUGAAAGAUGGUUUUGCUAUCACUUAUAGAUGGACCCGCGCCGUAUUAGCUAGUUGGUAAGGUAACGGCUUACCAAGGCGACGAUACGUAGCCGACCUGAGAGGGUGAUCGGCCACACUGGAACUGAGACACGGUCCAGACUCCUACGGGAGGCAGCAGUAGGGAAUCUUCCGCAAUGGGCGAAAGCCUGACGGAGCAACGCCGCGUGAGUGAUGAAGGUCUUCGGAUCGUAAAACUCUGUUAUUAGGGAAGAACAUACGUGUAAGUAACUAUGCACGUCUUGACGGUACCUAAUCAGAAAGCCACGGCUAACUACGUGCCAGCAGCCGCGGUAAUACGUAGGUGGCAAGCGUUAUCCGGAAUUAUUGGGCGUAAAGCGCGCGUAGGCGGUUUUUUAAGUCUGAUGUGAAAGCCCACGGCUCAACCGUGGAGGGUCAUUGGAAACUGUAAAACUUGAGUGCAGAAGAGGAAAGUGGAAUUCCAUGUGUAGCGGUGAAAUGCGCAGAGAUAUGGAGGAACACCAGUGGCGAAGGCGACUUUCUGGUCUGUAACUGACGCUGAUGUGCGAAAGCGUGGGGAUCAAACAGGAUUAGAUACCCUGGUAGUCCACGCCGUAAACGAUGAGUGCUAAGUGUUAGGGGGUUUCCGCCCCUUAGUGCUGCAGCUAACGCAUUAAGCACUCCGCCUGGGGAGUACGACCGCAAGGUUGAAACUCAAAGGAAUUGACGGGGACCCGCACAAGCGGUGGAGCAUGUGGUUUAAUUCGAAGCAACGCGAAGAACCUUACCAAAUCUUGACAUCCUUUGACAACUCUAGAGAUAGAGCCUUCCCCUUCGGGGGACAAAGUGACAGGUGGUGCAUGGUUGUCGUCAGCUCGUGUCGUGAGAUGUUGGGUUAAGUCCCGCAACGAGCGCAACCCUUAAGCUUAGUUGCCAUCAUUAAGUUGGGCACUCUAAGUUGACUGCCGGUGACAAACCGGAGGAAGGUGGGGAUGACGUCAAAUCAUCAUGCCCCUUAUGAUUUGGGCUACACACGUGCUACAAUGGACAAUACAAAGGGCAGCGAAACCGCGAGGUCAAGCAAAUCCCAUAAAGUUGUUCUCAGUUCGGAUUGUAGUCUGCAACUCGACUACAUGAAGCUGGAAUCGCUAGUAAUCGUAGAUCAGCAUGCUACGGUGAAUACGCUCCCGGGUCU
RNAcentral lists this ribosomal RNA (1372 nucleotides) under uncultured bacterium. RNAcentral's name for it is "bacterial SSU rRNA". It matches the Rfam family "Bacterial small subunit ribosomal RNA", at positions 28 to 1381 of the family's 1533-position model. The record is from RNAcentral.